This 254-nucleotide unclassified non-coding RNA is filed under the name uncultured Gemmatimonadota bacterium. RNAcentral describes it as "uncultured Gemmatimonadetes bacterium contains 16S-23S intergenic spacer region". It matches the Rfam family "Bacterial small subunit ribosomal RNA", at positions 524 to 776 of the family's 1533-position model. Lineage: Bacteria; Pseudomonadati; Gemmatimonadota. The record is from RNAcentral.
UACGAAGGUCCCGAGCGUUGUUCGGAAUCACUGGGCGUAAAGCGCGCGCAGGCGGGUGCGGAAGUCGGGGGUGAAAGGUCGGGGCUCAACCCCGGAUCGUUCUCUCGAUACUCCGUGCCUAGGGACCGGUAGAGGCCAGUAGAAUUCCCGGAGUAGCGGUGGAAUGCGUAGAUAUCGGGAAGAACACCAGAGGCGAAGGCGACUGGCUGGGCCGGAUCCGACGCUCAGGCGCGAAAGUGUGGGGAGCAAACAGG